CAUGGUUGUCGUCAGCUCGUGUCGUGAGAUGUGGUUAAGUCCGCAACGAGCGCAACCCUCGACCUUAGUUGCCAGCAUUCAGUUGGGCACUCUAAGGUGACUGCCGGCUAAAAGUCGGAGGAAGGUGGGGAUGACGUCAAAUCAUCAUGCCCCUUAUGACCUGGGCUACACACGUGCUACAAUGGUUGGUACAACGAGUUGCGAGUCGGUGACGGCGAGCUAAUCUCUUAAAGCCAAUCUCAGUUCGGAUUGUAGGCUGCAACUCGCCUACAUGAAGUCGGAAUCGCUAGUAAUCGCGGAUCAGCACGCCGCGGUGAAUACGUUCCCGGGCCUU
Molecule: ribosomal RNA, 334 nt
Filed under: uncultured Streptococcus sp.
Lineage: Bacteria; Bacillati; Bacillota; Bacilli; Lactobacillales; Streptococcaceae
Description: bacterial SSU rRNA
Rfam family: Bacterial small subunit ribosomal RNA
Source: RNAcentral